Molecule: ribosomal RNA, 636 nt
Filed under: Brevibacterium sp. b3
Lineage: Bacteria; Bacillati; Actinomycetota; Actinomycetes; Micrococcales; Brevibacteriaceae
Description: bacterial SSU rRNA
Rfam family: Bacterial small subunit ribosomal RNA
Source: RNAcentral
GGUGCUUGCACCGGGUGGAUGAGUGGCGAACGGGUGAGUAACACGUGAGUAACCUGCCCCUGACUUCGGGAUAAGCCCGGGAAACUGGGUCUAAUACCGGAUACGACUGCCGGACGCAUGUCUGGUGGUGGAAAGUUUUUUCGGUUGGGGAUGGGCUCGCGGCCUAUCAGUUUGUUGGUGAGGUAAUGGCUCACCAAGACGACGACGGGUAGCCGGCCUGAGAGGGCGACCGGCCACACUGGGACUGAGACACGGCCCAGACUCCUACGGGAGGCAGCAGUGGGGAAUAUUGCACAAUGGGGGAAACCCUGAUGCAGCGACGCAGCGUGCGGGAUGACGGCCUUCGGGUUGUAAACCGCUUUCAGCAGGGAAGAAGCGCAAGUGACGGUACCUGCAGAAGAAGUACCGGCUAACUACGUGCCAGCAGCCGCGGUAAUACGUAGGGUACGAGCGUUGUCCGGAAUUAUUGGGCGUAAAGAGCUCGUAGGUGGUUGGUCACGUCUGCUGUGGAAACGCAACGCUUAACGUUGCGCGUGCAGUGGGUACGGGCUGACUAGAGUGCAGUAGGGGAGUCUGGAAUUCCUGGUGUAGCGGUGAAAUGCGCAGAUAUCAGGAGGAACACCGGUGGCGAAGGCG